Molecule: ribosomal RNA, 252 nt
Filed under: uncultured bacterium
Lineage: Bacteria
Description: partial 16S ribosomal RNA
Rfam family: Bacterial small subunit ribosomal RNA
Source: RNAcentral
UACGUAGGGUGCAAGCGUUGUCCGGAAUUAUUGGGCGUAAAGAGCUCGUAGGCGGUUUGUCGCGUCUGCUGUGAAAAUCCAGGGCUUAACCCUGGACCUGCAGUGGGUACGGGCAGACUGGAGUGCGGUAGGGGAGAUCGGAAUUCCUGGUGUAGCGGUGAAAUGCGCAGAUAUCAGGAGGAACACCGGUGGCGAAGGCGGAUCUCUGGGCCGUAACUGACGCUGAGGAGCGAAGCAUGGGGAGCGAACAGG